AGAGUUUGAUCAUGGCUCAGGACGAACGCUGGCGGCAUGCCUAAUACACGCAAGUCGAACGAUGAAUCUCUCUGCUUGCAGAGAGAGGAAGAGUGGCGAACGGGUGAGUAACACGUGAGGAACUUGCCCAUAAGAGGGGGAUAACAUCCGGAAACGGGUGCUAAUACCGCAUACGUAACACAUUCGCAUGAACGUGUUAUUAAAGGUGGCUCUGCUACCGCUUAUGGAUAGCCUCGCGGUGCAUUAGCUAGUUGGUGGGGUAACGGCCUACCAAAGCGAUGAUGCAUAGCCGACUUGAGAGGGUGAUCGGCCACACUGGGACUGAGACACGGCCCAGACUCCUACGGGAAGCAGCAGUAGGGAAUCUUCCACAAUGGGUGCAAACCUGAUGGAGCAAUGCCGCGUGAGUGAAGAAGGACUUCGGUUCGUAAAGCUCUGUUGUUAGAGAAGAACAAGGAUAGGAGUAACUGUCUAUCCCUUGACGGUACCUAACCAGAAAGUCACGGCUAACUACGUGCCAGCAGCCGCGGUAAUACGUAGGUGACAAGCGUUGUCCGGAUUUAUUGGGCGUAAAGCGAGCGCAGGCGGUUCUUUAAGUCUGAUGUGGAAGCCCACGGCUCAACCGUGGAAUCGCAUUGGAAACUGGAGAACUUGAAUAUAGAAGAGGAAAGUGGAAUUCCAAGUGUAGCGGUGGAAUGCGUAGAUAUUUGGAGGAACACCAGUGGCGAAGGCGACCUUCUGGUCUAUUAUUGACGCUGAGGCUCGAAAGCGUGGGUAGCAAACAGGCUUAGAUACCCUGGUAGUCC
This 806-nucleotide ribosomal RNA is filed under the name uncultured bacterium. RNAcentral describes it as "bacterial SSU rRNA". It matches the Rfam family "Bacterial small subunit ribosomal RNA", at positions 8 to 796 of the family's 1533-position model. The record is from RNAcentral.